RNAcentral lists this ribosomal RNA (158 nucleotides) under Hydnophlebia alachuana. RNAcentral describes it as "Ceriporia alachuana 5.8S ribosomal RNA". It matches the Rfam family "5.8S ribosomal RNA". From Rfam's summary of the family: 5.8S ribosomal RNA (5.8S rRNA) is a component of the large subunit of the eukaryotic ribosome. It is transcribed by RNA polymerase I as part of the 45S precursor that also contains 18S and 28S rRNA. Functionally, it is thought that 5.8S rRNA may be involved in ribosome translocation. Lineage: Eukaryota; Fungi; Basidiomycota; Agaricomycetes; Polyporales; Meruliaceae. The record is from RNAcentral. RNAcentral also lists the same sequence under 2 other names.
CAACUUUCAGCAACGGAUCUCUUGGCUCUCGCAUCGAUGAAGAACGCAGCGAAAUGCGAUAAGUAAUGUGAAUUGCAGAAUUCAGUGAAUCAUCGAAUCUUUGAACGCACCUUGCGCUCCUUGGUAUUCCGAGGAGCAUGCCUGUUUGAGUAUCAUGG